GCCAGGCAGGGCACGGUGUGCCUGUAGUCCCAGCUACUCAGGAGGCUGAGGAAGGAGGAUAGCUCGAUCCAGGGAGUUCCGGGCUGCAGUGCACUGUGCCAAUAGGGUGUCUACAGUUAGUUCAGAAUCAAUAUGGUAACCUUCUGGGAUCGGGGAACCACCAGGUUGCCCAAGGAGGGGUGAAUCAGCCCAGGUUGGAAACGGAGCAGGUGGAAACUCCCGUGCUGACCAGUAGUGUGAUCGCACCUGUGAACAGCCCCUGCACUGUAGCCUGGGCAAAAUAGCAAGACCCCAUCUCU
Molecule: signal recognition particle RNA, 299 nt
Filed under: Microcebus murinus (gray mouse lemur)
Lineage: Eukaryota; Metazoa; Chordata; Mammalia; Primates; Cheirogaleidae
Description: Metazoan signal recognition particle RNA (ENSMICG00000044376.1)
Rfam family: Metazoan signal recognition particle RNA
About the family: The signal recognition particle (SRP) is a universally conserved ribonucleoprotein. It is involved in the co-translational targeting of proteins to membranes.
Source: RNAcentral